This 253-nucleotide ribosomal RNA is filed under the name uncultured bacterium. RNAcentral describes it as "partial 16S ribosomal RNA". It matches the Rfam family "Bacterial small subunit ribosomal RNA", at positions 524 to 776 of the family's 1533-position model. The record is from RNAcentral.
UACGAAGGGGGCUAGCGUUGCUCGGAAUCACUGGGCGUAAAGGGUGCGUAGGCGGCUGAUUAAGUCAGGGGUGAAAUCCUGGAGCUCAACUCCAGAACUGCCUUUGAUACUGAAGAUCUUGAGUUCGGGAGAGGUGAGUGGAACUGCGAGUGUAGAGGUGAAAUUCGUAGAUAUUCGCAAGAACACCAGUGGCGAAGGCGGCUCACUGGCCCGAUACUGACGCUGAGGUGCGAAAGCGUGGGGAGCAAACAGG